RNAcentral lists this ribosomal RNA (508 nucleotides) under Agama agama (Red-headed rock agama). RNAcentral's name for it is "partial large subunit ribosomal RNA". It matches the Rfam family "Bacterial large subunit ribosomal RNA", at positions 1841 to 2622 of the family's 2925-position model. Lineage: Eukaryota; Metazoa; Chordata; Lepidosauria; Squamata; Agamidae. The record is from RNAcentral.
AAGUAUUAAAGGUAACGCCUGCCCAGUGAGAAACUUUUCUUUAACGGCCGCGAGAUUCAACCGUGCGAAGGUAGCGAAAUCACUUGUCUCCUAAAUAGAGACCUGUAUGAAAGGCCCAAUGAGAAAGAAACUGUCUCUUGAAGUUAGCCAGUGAAACUGAUCUGCCCGUGCAAAAGCAGGCAUAACAAAACAAGACAAAAAGACCCUGUGAAACUUAAAAUAAACGCCAAUAACAUGUCGAUAUUUUUAGGUUGGGGCAACCAAAGAGAAACAAAACCUCUAAAAUAUAUUAGACUAACAAGUCCAACCAAACCAACAUGACCCAGUAAAACUGAUUAAUGAACCAAGCUACUCCAGGGAUAACAGCGCCAAAUUCUUGAAGAGUCCACAUCAACAAGAAUUCUUACGACCUCGAUGUUGGAUCAGGAUAACCCAACAGCGCAAAAGCUGCUAACGGUUCGUUUGUUCAACGAUUAACAUCCUACGCGAUCUGAGUUCAGACCGGAGC